Molecule: non-coding RNA, 542 nt
Organism: Pimephales promelas (fathead minnow)
Lineage: Eukaryota; Metazoa; Chordata; Actinopteri; Cypriniformes; Leuciscidae
Source: RefSeq, a predicted model, not a curated record
GGGUUUAGUUACUCUUUAAACAUCACCUCCAUUCAAAAUGUUUAACCAACACACUUCUUGUUCGGGCUUCAGUUUGCAAAUGCAGGGAAUAUUCUCCAUAACAAAGCGAAUUGCAUCCCGCAUCUCCAUAUCCGCGGUCGUUUUCGAUUUCCCGAACCUAAAAUACAAUCUUAAACUCGGUGCUUAGCGUCUACGUCACGGCUCUCAGCUGUCGGAAAACUGAGAGAUAGGGCGCUGUCUCAGACCGAGUACAGAUGCGAACUGAAAUUGAGCGGGAGUGCGAAGUCUGAUGUAGUCGGACCGUGUGAACAAAAAACAGGACCAAUGCCUUAAAGGGGUCAUCGGAUGCAGAAUUCACUUUUAUAUGGCAGCAGUUUACCUGUCUUGUGUCCACACGCCCCAUGGAAGAGAGGAGUUUGGUGAGCAGUUGCUCAUUAUCAUUUAAAGAGACAUGCACCGAAAACGGGUCACUACCAACAGAGCUCAAUAAACUAUUCAAUAUUAGCCCUCUGGGCUACUUCGUAAAUGGGUUACACUUAGCU